This is a long non-coding RNA of Colossoma macropomum (tambaqui), 286 nucleotides long. RefSeq lists it as uncharacterized. Lineage: Eukaryota; Metazoa; Chordata; Actinopteri; Characiformes; Serrasalmidae. The record is from RefSeq and is a predicted model, not a curated record. The transcript is spliced from 3 exons.
GUAAACAAGCCUGGAGCACUAUGAGGUUUUGCUGAGUGUAUUGUCGAGUUUUUUUGUUCUCUGUGGGGGUCGUCAUGUCUGUGGUGGUCUGUUUAGGGUUAUUUCUUGGUUUGGUUUUCUCUCACUUGAGCUGUUCUCAAAAUUAUGAAGAAGGACCUGCAGGAAGUUCUCCAAAAGCCUUCAGUUCCUACAGCCCAAUACAAAGUCAAGGCACCUACAGUAGAUCUGUAGCAUCCAGCUUUGGCCCAUCCUCUCAUCGGCAUGGACCCGUCUCCUCCUACCAAAC